CCUACGGGAGGCAGCAGUGAGGAAUAUUGGUCAAUGGGCUUACGCCUGAACCAGCCAAGUCGCGUGAGGGAAGACUGCCCUAUGGGUUGUAAACCUCUUUUGUCAGGGUGCAACGCCGGCUACGUGUAGCCGGACUGAGAGUACCUGAAGAAAAAGCAUCGGCUAACUCCGUGCCACCGACCGCGGUAAUACGGGGGAUGCGAGCGUUAUCCGGAUUUAUUGGGUUUAAAGGGUGCGUAGGCGGUAUGCCAAGUCAGCGGUAAAAUCGCGGGGCUCAACCUCGCUCCGCCGUUGAAACUGGCGGUCUUGAGUGGGCGAGAAGUAUGCGGAAUGCGUGGUGUAGCGGUGAAAUGCAUAGAUAUCACGCAGAACUCCGAUUGCGAAGGCAGCAUACCGGCGCCCAACUGACGCUGAAGCACGAAAGCGUGGGUAUCGAACAGGAUUAGAUACCCCAGUAGUC
Molecule: ribosomal RNA, 460 nt
Filed under: uncultured bacterium
Lineage: Bacteria
Description: partial 16S ribosomal RNA
Rfam family: Bacterial small subunit ribosomal RNA
Source: RNAcentral